RNAcentral lists this ribosomal RNA (501 nucleotides) under uncultured bacterium. Its description in RNAcentral is "bacterial SSU rRNA". It matches the Rfam family "Bacterial small subunit ribosomal RNA", at positions 28 to 521 of the family's 1533-position model. The record is from RNAcentral.
GACGAACGCUGGCGGCGUGGAUUAGGCAUGCAAGUCGAACGGUAUCAUCCUUUCGGGGGUGAGAGAGUGGCGAACUGGUGAGUAACACGUAGGUUAUCUACCCUCAAGACGGGGACAACCCAGGGAAACUUGGGCUAAUACCGGAUGUGAGCAACUUUUAGUUGUUUGAAAGGUGGCGUAAGCUGUCGCUUGGGGAUGAGCCUGCGUCCUAUUAGUUAGUUGGUGAGGUAACGGCUCACCUAGGCAAUGAUAGGUAGGCGGCCUUAACGGGUGGUCGCCCACACUGGGAUUGAGAUACGGCCCAGACUCCUACGGGAGGCAGCAGUCGAGAAUAGUCUACAAUGGUCGGAAGACUGAUAGUGCGACGCCGCGUGAACGAUGAAUCCCUUCGGGGUGUAAAGUUCUUUUAUAUGUGAGCAGUGCUUCUUAUAUUAACAGUAUGGGGAAGAGAUAUUAGCAUAUGAAUAAGCAACGGCUAACUCCGUGCCAGCCAACCGCGGU